Molecule: long non-coding RNA, 2056 nt
Organism: Cygnus olor (mute swan)
Lineage: Eukaryota; Metazoa; Chordata; Aves; Anseriformes; Anatidae
Exons: 3
Source: RefSeq, a predicted model, not a curated record
AUCUCCCCUCUUUCCUUACACCUUCCGGUACACUUACCUUGUUACAACUUACCUCAUCUUUAGCGUGUUAAUGGUAUUAGUUAUGUGGGAUAUAGCUUUUGAGGAGGGUGACGGGCGGUAUGUACGUGCCCCAGGGCCGGCUUAAAGGGGGCUCUAUUGUCCCGCUCUACUGCUAAAUCCUCCUUCCAGAAGCAGUUUCAAACUUCUUUCCGUGUGCCCUAUGUAUAGGGAAUGUAGCCCAUUUCUUCCACUCCAUAGGCUGUACCUUGACCUGUCUUACUAGCGAUGUGCUAUUGUGUCCACUGUUGUGCUCUCAUUCGAGGUGGGCUGGCGACGGCGGUAUGUAGGCUGUGUUGGCAAGGGGUGGUUGGGUUAAUCGUGGAUUAUCGAUUGUAGAACAGGCUCCUCUAGGUGGGUUUAGGGCACCGCCAAGUCCUUAGAGUUUUAAGCGUUUGUGCUCGUAGUUCUCUGGCGGAUACUUCGGUAAAGUAAGUAUCAAGAUUUAGGGCCAGGCAUAGUGGGGUAUCUAAUCCCAGUUUGGGCCCUGGCUUUCGUGGGGUUAAAUCGAUCGUUAGUUCCUAAGAUCAUCUUAAUGGUGUGUUUAGGUGCAUCUUGGGCUUAUGACAGCUUAGUUGCAUUUUGGUCUUAGUUAGCUAGGAUAGGCAUUUUACCACUCUUUACGCCAGGUUUUAUGGGACGGUUGAUUUGGGUUUCUUGUGUGACCGUGGUGGCUGGCACAAGAUUUACCAACCCUUAGGAAGUGAGAAUUGUUGCUAUAACUAAGUCAAGUUUGCACUCAUUGCUUAAUGUUAACUACUGCUGAAUACCCGUGGGGGCGUGGCUUAGCGAGGCGUCUUGGGCUACUGCUUGGGUGUGCCUGAUACCCACUCCUCAAGGCCUAGUGGUAAUAGGUGGUCGAGGGCGUUUACACUGGGGCGCGGAUACUUGCAUGUAUGAAUUUAGCAAAAACCAACCGUAAGGUUAGGACUAAGUCUUUUGUUCGCAGGUACGCUUGUGUACCGUCUUGGCAGCUUCAGUGCCAUGCUUUAUGUUAAGCUAUGUGAACGGGAGUGGGAUUAGCUGAUGGUUGAGUGGUGGGUGGGGGGGUGAAAUGUAUGAAAUUGUUGUGUGUGUUGCCUUUGUUUAGUACUGGAGUUUCUCUAAUAAAUUUGGGUUAUUUUGUAUAUGUUUGUAUAUAUAUAUUGUCGGGAAUGUGUGGGACGAGUUAAUGGAAUUCUUGAGGUAGUUCCGUGUACAUUGGAUGAUGGGAGCUUAUGCCAUGUGAUUUGGGGGUCGUGGUUUUGGGUAAGCAGGGAUUUACUGGUUUAGGUUUGUGAAGCGCAGGGGUUGCGCUUGAUGGCUUUUGUUUUUGUGGUAUGUCCUGCGAGCAUUCACUGAAUAGCCCCAUUUAACCCAGAUGGGUGGAGGUAACAUUAACUGAAUGUGGACAAAGUGCAUCAGUGUCAGGAUGAUUCCCCAUAUACGCCAACCGUCUCAUUGAGGGACCCUUGAGAUAUAGGAUAGACCGUGAGGCAGGUGUGUCCAGGCUUAGAUUGUGGGACCCCCGAAGUCACUGGGAAGAGCCACCUGUGAGGUAACCCCAGAAAAAAUAAAAGGAACCAGAGGCGCCAAAAAGCUGGGAAAUGCCGCGAUUACGCAUUGAGGUGGUGGAAGUAUUCCACAGAUGCCACUUUGAAGGGCAAGGAGAGGUGAGUGAACCCAAUGGAUGGCCCUGACCGAGGAACCAGCGGCGCAAAAAUGUGAGGAGGGCGAGGGGUUUAGGGGGAACGUAUGGGCCUGAAGCUAGUCAUAUCGGACAUUAUGUGCAGCGGGUUGCUGAUUUCACGUGAGGUGUACGACUAAUAAAUCCAUCUGAUACGAACUGCAUGAGAUAUGUGGUUGAGGGUUAUUGUUAGGGGUAUGUCCUGGGAGCAUUCACUGGGUAGUGGCCUUGUUGUGUGCCUGAGGGUGGUGGUUGUGGGUUAUCUGGUUGGUCUUGGAGCAUUCAUGUUAAUGUGGUUUGGUAGGAGAGUGCUGUGAGGAUUUGAUGUCCGUG